CACCGUAUCCUGGAUCUCAAUGUACGUUACAGACUGUCGCGAUAGCGUUGAUCUCUUGACUGCUAGAUCUAUCUAGAUGUCAGGUCAGCAGGCCAACGAUGAUACGUAGCUACGCGAGAGCUCUGCCUACACAUGUCGAGAUGAUCAGGAUAGGGUGCUCUCGCGCGUCUCAGAUGUGCAUCAUGUCGUCAGCAUCGUGUCGUCAGAUGAUGCGUAGUCUCGCCGGAGCACCUCGUUCGUGUUGUCACAGAUAUACGCGACUCUCACGGACGCCUGUUAUCUCUGAGGAGGAUGUGAGACGUCAGAUCAUCAUGAUGCCUAUGUCUACAGCGUCACGCAUGAUACAAUAUCGGUACUACAGGAUGAUGACAGUGCGAGCUGAGCGGAUGCCUGAUAACCGCUGUCAGUCUGAUAUCAGUAUGCACUCGACUGCGUGAAGCGGAGUCGUUAGUAGUCGUGAAUCAGCAACGUCGCGGUGAAUGCGUUCCCGCCCGUCGUACACACCGCCCGUCAAGUCAUGAAAGAGGGCAGCACCAUAAGCCGGUGGCCUAACCCCCCGCGGGAGGGAGCCGUCUAAGAUGAGGCUCGUGAUUGGGAGUAAGUAGUAACAAGGUAGCCGUACCGGAAGGUGCGGCGGGAUCACCUCCUUUUUUCGGAGAAUACGGCCGGAUGUUCUUCCGCCGGUGCGUGCCCCGGCGUCGCGGCAGUCGCGGCGGUUUGGGGGGGCUGGUGUGGAAGAGAUCAUGGGCUUUCGGUUCGUCCGUCGUGGGAUGUUCUUCGGGAGUGGUGUGGAUGCGCUUUUGGGCUCCCGGAUCGCCACCCCCCCCUUUGUCCUCGCGCGAUUCGAUGACCAUCAUGCCUGAUGACGGGGGGGUCCCGUCCGGACGGCGUGGUGGUGCGUGGUGGCUUGAGAAGAGGAUAGUGGACGCGAGCAACACGGGGUUUCUUUUUGAUUCCUCUUUUUUGCUGUUGAUUUUGAAUAUAACUCUAUUUUUUUAGUGUUUGUUUCGAUCGUUUUGUGAUCAUUUUAGUGUGAUGAUUUGUCGUCUGGGAAUUUGCUAGGAAGGAUCCUUGCGGCCAUGCGCACCGUGUGUACCA
Molecule: unclassified non-coding RNA, 1098 nt
Filed under: Bifidobacterium sp. 107
Lineage: Bacteria; Bacillati; Actinomycetota; Actinomycetes; Bifidobacteriales; Bifidobacteriaceae
Description: partial 16S-23S ribosomal RNA intergenic spacer
Rfam family: Bacterial small subunit ribosomal RNA (bases 1-650)
Source: RNAcentral